CUUGGUGUUUGACUUUGAUAUUUAUUAAGUGGCAAUUUGCAUAGUAAUGAUGAUGACAUGGCCACCAUUAGGGGGUGAUUACUAUAGCAUGACACUGGGGUGUUAUAGAACUGAGCGGGAGGGGGAGAACAAUCGCCGCCUUCUCAUGCUGCUCGUCUCCACCGUACCUUGUCUGCCUCGCGUGGUGAUGACCGGCGGCACAACAGGCGUUGGCGGCGUGGUCGAUCCCCUGGUUGUCGUACCUGGAAGGCCGGCACUAACGAGGCCCCCUCCGUCCCCAUCCGUGAGUUCCACGACAGGGGACUUCGACCAUGCCUGCGUGCAUCCUAGGUUCCUCCACAUCAGCCCGACCUCCCACAAGUGGGCGUUCGUAGGUUUCACGCCCUUGCCAAUCCAUUCUCUGAUUUGGUUUGGUUUGGUGGAGAUGUAAUAGUUUGAUAGUUCUCAGUUUGUAGAACAAAGGGUACCAGGUAACUACAAGAUACAUUGCUUGUUGGUUUGUUACAAUAUUUGACCUGAUGGGAGAUAAGAUGCAUACCUUGCUGGUUUGUUACGAUAUUUGGCCUGAGUGUGAGGAGCAGGUAGCGCUCAAUCUUACUAUUUUUAAAUUUUCGGUUCACAUGUGAAGGUCUAGAAUUUCUAUUCAAUUGGUUGAAAUAAACUGGGCGGCAUCGAGGUAAUGUUAUUCGGAUGUGCUUUCAAGAAAUAAGUUUGUGCCGUUUAAAAUUUAGUUAUGUGCAAAGAAACAGCAAAUACAGGUUUACUGUAACUUUUCUUGUAUGAGAUUUCAAGUGAGAUUGUUCAGUUCGUUCUUCUGUUUGUUACUAGAGAUUCUGAGAAAGAUUGUUAUGUGCCGCUGUAUAAAGAUGGAUUUGAAAUCAAUUGAGCUGUGUUGUAUGCUUUAAUAGGAAAAACUUAACUGAACUUGUUGCUGGCGUUUAAAAUUCAGUUAUCUACACAGAAACAACAAAUACCAGUGUACUGUAGCUUUUCUUGUAUAAGGUUCCAAGCAAGAUAGUUCGGUUGGUUCUUAUUUUUCUUCUUAGAGAUUUUGAGCAAGAUUGUUAUUUGUGACUGUAUGAAGAUGGAUUUCAAAUCAAUUCUGCCAUGGUGUGCACUUUAAAACAAGAACUGAACUUGUUUGUGCCAUUUAAAAUACAAUGAUCUACAAAGAAACAACAAAUAAGUUGCCAAUUUUAGAAGUGGUGCAGCAGAUAGUUUUUUAGAUGAUUGAGACAGCUACAACUUCAUUUGACUCUCUAAUCGUUCAAGUUUUCAUCCAAAAGUACAGAUUCGCUGCUCAUACACCACAUGAAUCAAUUGGCGUUUCGAAUGUGCUAAAUGCACAUUAAGAUUCAGUUUUGCCUACUGUUUCAGUUACAUGAAUAUCUUUGUCAUCAGUACAUCCAUUAUAUGUUAAUCUAUUUUACUAUCUCUUUUCCAUUUUGCCUUCCUGACUGUACUCUGCUCUAUCCAUUUUUCCUUACAUAAAGAAGAUGAAUUCCUUGUUGGUUUAUUUGAGUAUCUUUGUUGCAUUAAUACUAAAAACACAUGUUAUCCAUUUCUCCCUUGCUAUUUCUGUUUGGGGAAUAUUAUAGUUUGACCACUGACUAGAAAUCAAAUGCUUAAUAUUGGAAUGUCUGCUGGAUAAGAAGGUAGAAAAACUAGACGGUGUGGUACUCUCAUGACUUCUCUUCUUUAUGUUUGGUGUUCAAGAUACUUACGCCACCAUGUAAAAUAUUUAUCUAAUAACUUUUCUCUUGAUGUGCAGCUAUAUCUGAACUUCUUGAUAAUGCAGUAGAUGAGGCAUGAGUGAAAAGGUGAUUAAGAAUUCUGAUCGAUAGUGAUGGGGAGGUAUUUGUCGAGGUUGCUAGGUGUGUGGACUUUCCUUUUCUGCAAGGACUUCUUUAGUUCUUCGCUUGCAAUUUGGAUGACCGUGUGAAGCACUGAAUUCCGCCCUUGAUGAGAUGCCUGGCAAUCAUUCUGUUUUCUUAAUGGGAGAAGAGGUACCAGGAUACCACCUGGAAGACAAGAUAAUAACAUUGCAGAUAGACAGAAACAGAAUUACUUUACACUAAUUCGACGUCUAUCGAGCAAUGGAACAACAAAGACGGAUCAAAUAACUACUCCGAGAGGGGACGUUGAGGAUGACGACAGCGACGAGCAAGUCGGCGUCUGUGAAGCUUCACCGGAGCCAUUCCAGCUCUUCCAAAGGCACAACGAGAGCCUAAAGGAAGCUGAGGAGCCAGGACGCCGAUGGUGCGGAGCCGUUUGCCAUCGAGAGGACCAGGGCAAGCCAUCAUGGACCUCCGGACCAAGCUCAACAUCUCCCUCGCCUCAGUCGAUGCCAUGUCCUGGAGGGUCGUUGCUGGGUCGCCAUCCAUGACAAUGAGCUCCUACCGCAGCUCGUGGAGCUAAUCUGAAUGCUGGCAAGGAUGUGGCGAGUCAUCGGCAACGCGCACCGGGUGAUGAAGCGCAUGGCGGACAAGCCGAGCAUGCUCCUCUUGUUGUCGGCCGCACGGUUUGAGGGAGGCAUCAAGAGACUGCCGCCGCCGUGGCCGACGCGCGCGUAAUUUCUUUAACGUAUCUUACGUUGUCAAACAGCAAGAUGCUCCUGUCGAUGCUAUUAUAUCGCUACGGGUUUGCCUGUGAUAGCAUGACAUUUCAGUUUCUUCCUUACAUGAUGCGCCAAUAUAAUAAUUUCAUCAAGAAUUGCAUGUACAUGGUGCUGCUAUCCAGAUCAAAAAAGGAAAGUGAAAGGAGCGUGCAUCUACCUGGCACCGCCCAGAUGCCCCUCAAGUGGCGCGCCAAUGGGGUGCCCCAUGAAGCAAUUGUGUACUUUUUAUGUUCCAUGGAAGGCUCUAUGGUUCUUCAGUCUUCAGUUGGCAUCAUCUUUGAUGUGAGGUCUUUCACAUGGCAGAGAUGCUUCUCCUGCUUCUUUCAGGUUAAGAGUCGAGAGGAGAAUGAAGAUUAUCUUGCAUGACUUUAAUGAUUCUAAGAGAGGGGGUGGUACAUUUUGGAACAUAGAGGGUUGACAUGCCGAAAGAAGCGGAGGGGCGAUCACAGGGGCGACCUCCGCAUUGAGGAAGGAAUUGGUGCUGAAUCGAGGAAUGGACAGUCCUUGUGAGACCACAACCAACUGCCACUGAAUCGAGAAUUGGAUUGUCCAACCUUGGCCCUAUUCCAUCUCGUGGUGUUGCCUUAGUAAUUGAUUGUUUUUUCAUGGGCAAAUAGUAUAAUUAUUUGAAGUAUUUUUUUUUCAAGUGCAUGGCUGGCAAUUUCAAAGAGGAAAUGGCAAGCCGUCGCGCAUCGAUACCCUAUCUCUCCUUUGGAUUGAAUGCUAUCCUGGUCAGAACGAUAAUUUUGUUGUUUGCUUGUUCCUGUAGGCCGUACCACGGAGGUUUGUGGGAAAUUUCAAAGGUCGGAUCUAUGAAGCUAUCAAGCUAGAAGCUCCUCGGUUGUAGUUCAGAUCAUAGGCUUGUUGUAAUUUUCUUUUACGAUUCAGAAUUUUAGUCCAGAUCAUAGGUUUUCUAUCAUUCUCUUUUACU
This is a long non-coding RNA of Triticum urartu, 3548 nucleotides long. RefSeq lists it as uncharacterized. NCBI's taxonomy places the organism in Eukaryota, Viridiplantae, Streptophyta, Magnoliopsida, Poales, Poaceae. The record is from RefSeq and is a predicted model, not a curated record.